RNAcentral lists this transfer RNA (73 nucleotides) under Felis catus (domestic cat). It matches the Rfam family "tRNA". From Rfam's summary of the family: Transfer RNA (tRNA) molecules are approximately 80 nucleotides in length. The record is from Rfam by way of RNAcentral. RNAcentral also lists the same sequence under 3 other names. Lineage: Eukaryota; Metazoa; Chordata; Mammalia; Carnivora; Felidae.
ACCUGGCUGGCUCAGUCGGUAGAGCAUGUGACACUUGAUCUCAGGGUCAUGGGUUCAAGCCCCAAAUUGGGUG